This 492-nucleotide ribosomal RNA is filed under the name uncultured bacterium. Its description in RNAcentral is "partial 16S ribosomal RNA". It matches the Rfam family "Bacterial small subunit ribosomal RNA", at positions 29 to 507 of the family's 1533-position model. The record is from RNAcentral.
AGUGAACGCUGGCGGUAGGCCUAACACAUGCAAGUCGAACGGCAGCACAGUAAGAGCUUGCUCUUACGGGUGGCGAGUGGCGGACGGGUGAGGAAUACAUCGGAAUCUACUUUUUCGUGGGGGAUAACGUAGGGAAACUUACGCUAAUACCGCAUACGACCUACGGGUGAAAGCAGGGGAUCUUCGGACCUUGCGCGAUUGAAUGAGCCGAUGUCGGGUUAGCUAGUUGGCGGGGUAAAGGCCCACCAAGGCGACGAUCCGUAGCUGGUCUGAGAGGAUGAGCAGCAACACUGGAACUGAGACACGGUCCAGACUCCUACGGGAGGCAGCAGUGGGGAAUAUUGGACAAUGGGCGCAAGCCUGAUCCAGCCAUACCGCGUGGGUGAAGAAGGCCUUCGGGUUGUAAAGCCCUUUUGUUGGGGAAGAAAAGCAGCAGGUUAAUACCCCGCUGUUCUGACGGUACCCAAAGAAUAAGCACCGGCUAACUUCGUG